UUGUUUGUAUGGCAUAAAGGGGCAAAGAGGUGGAUUAUUAUUGGAAUUUGAUCUCAAGGGGUGGGAUAAGGUACUAAGCAUUAAAAAUUUUAUAAUUACCAAAAGUUUCUGUAAAAUCAUUAAAAGUGUUGAUAUCUCAAAAUGAAACAAAGAAUUCUUAAAUGCACUGGAUAAUAUGUUAAAGGCAAAUUAGUCAUUUAUCGGAGUUGAACCCCAAAUUUAACCCUCACCUGGUGCAAAGCUAAUGAGCUCGCAUGAUUGGGGAAAAAUGUGUCAAAUUACUGAUUCGUGCUGGCCCAAGUUGGUUUACAAUUUGAUAAUGUUAGUUCCGUAAUAAGGUUCUCUUUGCUCGUCCAGACGAUGAGAAUAAUCGGAAAUUUCUAUUAGGAGUGUCAUGCAUGCUUCAAAAUAUCUUAGAAAGCCACUCCUGCAGCCACUUUGCAUAUGUUUCCUAUUCUUUUUUCUUCUAGUUUUUUAUUUUAUUUAGAGACUAUCUGCUUCCUCACCCAUCCCUGCAUGGAUCAGGGAGAGCUAUGGAAAUAAAAGUUUUACUAGAGGAAUGUUUCUUUUAAAGCAUCUAAUGGUAUACAGAAGAUUAAAACAAAAACAAUUGAACCCAAAAAAAAAAGCUCCAUGACAAUCAGUCAUUUUAAAUAUUUUAUGCAGUGAUUGAUCCAAAGAGAAAGAUACAAAUCGAUCUAUUCUUUCAUAUCAAGAGACUCUGCUUUUCAUGCUGCGUCUAUCUGCCCUCACUUUCUCCAUCUGCCCACUCUUCCCCACCAUUCAGACCCUCUUUUCUAUUCUCACCUUGCAAUCCAAGACGAGAUGUUCUACAAUUAUCUCAAUAUUCAAUAGGAGGGGGAAAAGAGAGAGAGAGAGAGAGAGAAGGGGACAAUGAUUGCCAAGCAAUUCGGUGAUAUAAGCUCAAUCACGAGAGGUAUGGAUCCAUCAAUCCUUUUAUACUCCCCUAAUAUAGGAAGCCAUGUUUUGCUCCUUGUUUCUUGGAAAUGUCAUUGCAAACCAUGGACGAAGUUUACGUCCCAUGCAAAGUGAAAAGUGAGUUUUGGUUGGAGUUCACUUGCAAGACAUUUAGAUUUUGAAAUUCAUGUGAAACUCUAAGAUAAUGUUUUAAUGCACUGUAGAUCACUUUAUGCAGGCUGGUCUGAAGCAAAAACUCGAUUCUACUUACAGAGCAUGCUAAGCCAAACCCGUGAAGAGAAGCUGGUAGUUUUCCUUUUACGUUUCUAGCGAACAUAUUUGAUGCUGGUUAUCCUACAAUAUCAAGACUAACUUUAUACAUCUUGGUGCACAAGACACCCUUGAGAAGGUUCAUUUAAAGUGCUGCUAUAAAUGUUAGAGAUUUAUAAUGGACUGAAAUAUUGACUGGCAGAUUUGGACUGAACCAUGAUGGGCCUCUGGUUGAAAUCAUAUGAAGCCCACUUGGGUUCAAAAAUAAUAGAGUCGUAUUAUUGCGACAAGAUUAAUGAACAAAGAAGGAAUUUAUACAACAGUUUGCAUCAACUAUAACCAUGUUUUUUAAUAAAACAAAGAAACCUGUCUUAAACAUAAAUAAAGAAUUUGAAUUUCUUGUUUGUACUAAAUGCAGGGUUUGUUCUAAGUCUCAUUGGUAAGCCCCAUUCUUCUGCGCAUAAAAGGAGGGGUUCAUGGCCUGCAGGAUGGUGAACCUAAAAUUUCACCACUUUAUUUUGAAAAAUUUUCGGAAUCUAAGAUACGAGAGUAGUAAAAGGGAUAUAUUUCAUUUAUUUUUGCAAACUAGGGAGUAGCAGGACCUCAAGGUCCAAAUAUAUUUGAUUCACAGAUUUCCCAAGAACAGGAUUGUAAGAAAUUAAAGAAGAAAAAAUUAGAAGAAGAUUUACUUGAUUGCUUUUAAUAUCAUUUUGGAAACAAUGCUAGUGUAAACAUCUAGAAAUUAGUUUGUGAGGAUUUUGUUUUCCUUUUUUUUAUUGGAUCUCUAUGGUGAGAUUGUAUUUUAGAUCUUCAUAAGAAAAACCCAACCUGCUGGUCAUGUUAAAUGUAAAAUCAGGUUUCAUGAUUAUAGAUGACUUGGUUACUCAAAUCUAUAAACUAAAACAACACCAAGAAAGUGUUGCACAUGGUACAUUUGUUACGUAUAUUGGUAUACUAGAAGCAAGAAUUGAAGUUUUAUUUGUCAAGAAUGUUCAAAAAUCUAAAAAAAAAUCCAUUUGGUUUCACUUUUGAUUGGUUGACAGUUUUUUUUAAUCAAAUCUUAAGUAUAUCCAGACUUGACAAUGAAUCAGAACAAAUUUAUAGAUCAUUGUUUUAACACCGACAACAAAGGAUUCAUAGAAUGCUCCACUUGU
Molecule: long non-coding RNA, 2342 nt
Filed under: Phoenix dactylifera (date palm)
Lineage: Eukaryota; Viridiplantae; Streptophyta; Magnoliopsida; Arecales; Arecaceae
Description: long non-coding RNA (PDAC_LNC001780)
Source: RNAcentral